This 167-nucleotide non-coding RNA is filed under the name Lysobacter sp. RNAcentral describes it as "Glycine sequence". It matches the Rfam family "Glycine riboswitch aptamer". Rfam says of the family: This family represents the bacterial glycine riboswitch. RNAcentral also lists the same sequence under 1 other name. Lineage: Bacteria; Pseudomonadati; Pseudomonadota; Gammaproteobacteria; Lysobacterales; Lysobacteraceae. The record is from RNAcentral.
GUACAAAACUCUGGAGAGACCGACCGCCCGGAUCGAUCAGGCGGAACCGGCGCCGAAGGGGCACGAAGCGAGCCGUACAGGAGCGAUCCUACCCAGGAUGCCCUCCCCCAGCUGCCUGUAUGCAGCGGCGCUUCCAAACUCUCAGGCAAAAGGACAGAGGGGCGCCU